GUCUACAGUAAUGCCAUCCUGAACGUGACAGAUCUUGUCUGAUCUCGAAGGCUAAGCAGGGUCAGGCCUGUUAGUACUUGGAUGGGAGACCACCUAGGACUACCAGGUGCUAUAGGCA
This 118-nucleotide ribosomal RNA is filed under the name Pteropus alecto (black flying fox). Lineage: Eukaryota; Metazoa; Chordata; Mammalia; Chiroptera; Pteropodidae. The record is from RNAcentral.